GAUGAACGCUGGCGGUAUGCUUAACACAUGCAAGUCGAACGGACUCUUCGGAGUUAGUGGCGGACGGUUGAGUAACGCGUGAGAAUCUGGCUUUGGGUUCGGGACAACCACUGGAAACGGUGGCUAAUACCGGAUGUGCCGAGAGGUAAAAGAGAAAUUGCCUGAAGAUGAGCUCGCGUCUGAUUAGCUAGUUGGUGAGGUAAAGGCUCACCAAGGCAGCGAUCAGUAGCUGGUCUGAGAGGAUGACCAGCCACACUGGGACUGAGACACGGCCCAGACUCCUACGGGAGGCAGCAGUGGGGAAUUUUCCGCAAUGGGCGAAAGCCUGACGGAGCAAUACCGCGUGAGGGAAGAAGGCUCUUGGGUUGUAAACCUCUUUUCUUAGGGAAGAACAAAAUGACGGUACCUAAGGAAUCAGCAUCGGCUAACUCCGUG
This 435-nucleotide ribosomal RNA is filed under the name uncultured bacterium. RNAcentral describes it as "partial 16S ribosomal RNA". It matches the Rfam family "Bacterial small subunit ribosomal RNA", at positions 28 to 507 of the family's 1533-position model. The record is from RNAcentral.